This 146-nucleotide ribosomal RNA is filed under the name Nostoc sp. UCD120. Its description in RNAcentral is "partial 16S ribosomal RNA". It matches the Rfam family "Bacterial small subunit ribosomal RNA", at positions 1 to 158 of the family's 1533-position model. Lineage: Bacteria; Bacillati; Cyanobacteriota; Cyanophyceae; Nostocales; Nostocaceae. The record is from RNAcentral.
AAAACGGAGAGUUUGAUCCUGGCUCAGGAUGAACGCUGGCGGUAUGCUUAACACAUGCAAGUCGAACGGUGUCUUCGGACACAGUGGCGGACGGGUGAGUAACGCGUGAGAAUCUGGCUCUAGGUCUGGGACAACCACUGGAAACG